UACGUAGGGACCAAGCGUUGUCCGGAAUCAUUGGGCGUAAAGAGCGUGUAGGCGGCUUGUUAAGUCUUGCGUGAAAUCUCGGGGCUCAACCCCGAGCGGUCGUGAGAAACUGGCAGGCUAGAGUGCGGGAGAGGAGAGUGGAAUUCCUGGUGUAGCGGUGAAAUGCGCAGAUAUCAGGAAGAACACCCGUGGCGAAGGCGGCUCUCUGGAACGCAACUGACGCUGAGGCGCGAAAGCCAGGGGAGCAAACGGG
This 253-nucleotide ribosomal RNA is filed under the name uncultured bacterium. RNAcentral's name for it is "partial 16S ribosomal RNA". It matches the Rfam family "Bacterial small subunit ribosomal RNA", at positions 524 to 776 of the family's 1533-position model. The record is from RNAcentral.